Molecule: ribosomal RNA, 447 nt
Filed under: uncultured bacterium
Lineage: Bacteria
Description: partial 16S ribosomal RNA
Rfam family: Bacterial small subunit ribosomal RNA
Source: RNAcentral
AGCGAACGCUGGCGGCAGGCUUAACACAUGCAAGUCGAACGCCCCGCAAGGGGAGUGGCAGACGGGUGAGUAACACGUGGGAACGUACCCUUUGGUUCGGAAUAACUUGGGGAAACUCAAGCUAAUACCGGAUAAGCCCUUAUGGGGAAAGGUUUACUGCCGAAGGAUCGGCCCGCGUCUGAUUAGCUAGUUGGUGAGGUAAUGGCUCACCAAGGCGACGAUCAGUAGCUGGUCUGAGAGGAUGAUCAGCCACACUGGGACUGAGACACGGCCUAGGCUCCUACGGGAGGCCGCAGUGGGGAAUAUUGGACAAUGGGGGCAACCCUGAUCCAGCCAUGCCGCGUGAGUGAUGAAUGCCUUAGGGGUGUAAAGCUCUUUUAUCCGGGACGAUAAUGACUGGUCCGGGAGAAUAAGCCCCGGCUAACUUCGUGCCAGCCGCCGCCGUAA